This is a long non-coding RNA of Papaver somniferum (opium poppy), 411 nucleotides long. RefSeq lists it as uncharacterized. The record is from RefSeq and is a predicted model, not a curated record. The transcript has 4 exons. NCBI's taxonomy places the organism in Eukaryota, Viridiplantae, Streptophyta, Magnoliopsida, Ranunculales, Papaveraceae.
UCUCAAGUAAAUUAGGUCAAACAAAUUUUAAGGAGAUUCAAUCAAAUUUCAGGCAGGUGCUGAUCCAAAUGGUGCACCAGAUGGAAUAAAAGCUCUUCCACUUGCUGCAGGGGUAACACAAAUCAUCAAGCUGCUGGUUGAUGCUGGUGCAGAUUUAGAUGUUAAAAAUAUACUGUUGUCGGUAAUCCUCAAGGUGUUGAGAUUCUUUUUCCCGUGACUUCUCAUAUUCCAUCAUAUGAUGACUGGAGCAUAAAUGGAACAAUGAAGCAUGUGGAAUCUAAGAAGUUCAAGAAAUGAUUACCGAGUUUGAUUUUGAUGGUUGUCUUGCUAACACCGAUGCGAGAAGGUGUUUCACUCGAUGUGCUUUCACCUGGUAUCAAGGCAAUUUUUAACUGUCUUUCCCGGUCAAAG